Non-coding RNA from Schizosaccharomyces pombe (fission yeast), 412 nucleotides. The record is from the annotation of a GenBank genome assembly. Lineage: Eukaryota; Fungi; Ascomycota; Schizosaccharomycetes; Schizosaccharomycetales; Schizosaccharomycetaceae.
AUUGGAGCGGUAGUAAUUGAGCCAUUAAACAAUUCGAUAGUACUAUAACUAUGAUACAUUACAAAUGCUAGUGAAGAAGUUUGACUUUUACUAGAAGCAAUUUGUUAGCGGCUACUAUGAUAGUUUUUUCAUUAUCCUUUUUCAUUUUUUGCAUGGCUUAUUGCGCUUUCCUGUUCCCCUGUUAAUUUGCCAUCCCGUUUAUGAUGAGAAAAUACAUGCAAGUGUGUAGCAGUGCAAUUUCCCGCAAUUACACAAAUGGUCGCAUUAAUCGGAUACUGCAAAAUGGAAAUUUGAAUUGUUUAUUGGGAUCGCUUUUUGUUUCAACUUGUUUGUUUCAUCAGCGAUGUGGUGAUUGAACAACUAAAGCGUCAAGCAAAUGCGCCAUUUCUUCUUUUCUUUGCAGCAUAGCGCA